UCCGUAGGUGGCCCUCGUUGUCCGGAUUUACUGGUCUUCCCUUUCUCUUCUUCUUCUCCUUCCUUGUGAUGUGAAAUACCUGGGCUUAACUUGGGUGCUGCAUUCCAAACUGGGUGUCUAGAGUGUUGGAGAGGAAAGUGGAAUUCCUAGUGUAGCGGUGAAAUGCGUAGAGAUUAGGAAGAACACCAGUGGCGAAGGCGACUUUCUGGACAAUAACUGACGCUGAGGCUCGAAAGCGUGGGGAGCAAACAGGAUUAGAUACCCUGGUAGUCCACGCCGUAAACGAUGGGUACUAGGUGUAGGAGGUAUCGACUCCUCCUGUGCCGCCGUUAACACAAUAAGUACCCCGCCUGGGGAGUACGGUCGCAAGAUUAAA
RNAcentral lists this ribosomal RNA (376 nucleotides) under uncultured bacterium. RNAcentral's name for it is "bacterial SSU rRNA". It matches the Rfam family "Bacterial small subunit ribosomal RNA", at positions 524 to 898 of the family's 1533-position model. The record is from RNAcentral.